GAGAUUUAGGGAGGUCAAGGGCGGGCCCAAACGGGGCGCGGCUGCAGGAUUUCGUCCAGCCUCAGCCACCGUCAGUCCGUAAAUGCAAGCAAACUCAGAUCAGGCAGACGAGACUUUGCCCGGUUCCGCGGGUCAGUGUGGGGCCGAACCCUCAGGCGUGGGCUGUGAUUGCUAACUGCUGGCGCCCGUACACACUUGGGGACGGACUCCGGAGACUGCAUCCAAGGGUUUGGAAGCAUCCUCACUUCCCUAGGCAUCUGGACGGCGUCCUGCAGAGGGGCGGACUGGCAGAGAAGAGAUGCCAGCCUGGCGGACCGCUUUCCCUACCUCUCCAGAGAAGUCUGACCACUAUGCUUCUUCCUCACGCGCCGCCAACCAGCGUCCAGAAGAGGGCGCAGGCGAGUCCUGCACAGCAGUGUUGAGGCACUAGGUCCCGGGUGUGGGAGUCGCGGCCACAGCCAAGUGCCCAACCUAUUUUGUGAGCUCCCAUGCUCGGAAAGAGGAGCCCCAGUCCGCUUCGCUAGUCUUUUCAACCAGUAUGAAUCCAUUCAUGGCUUCCAUUUGAAGUCUUCUUCCUUUCAAUGAAUUUUCUUCUGAUGAAAAAUUUUCUAACAAGUCAUUUACACAUGAUGGAAAAUUUUCUGUGGAUUCCGUUGCUUACUUUUAAUGCUUUGGUUGCAGAUUUUAUUACACUUUAAAUCUGAAUUUUCUCACCAUUGUUUAGUAAAUAUUUAAG
RNAcentral lists this long non-coding RNA (736 nucleotides) under Fukomys damarensis (Damara mole-rat). RNAcentral's name for it is "lncRNA (ENSFDAG00000032000.1)". The record is from RNAcentral. Lineage: Eukaryota; Metazoa; Chordata; Mammalia; Rodentia; Bathyergidae.